GCAUAAACUCAGUAGAGUAGAGCAUGAGACUCUUAAUCUCAGAGUCGUGGAUUUGAGCCCCACGUUGGGCA
Molecule: non-coding RNA, 71 nt
Organism: Podarcis lilfordi (Lilford's wall lizard)
Lineage: Eukaryota; Metazoa; Chordata; Lepidosauria; Squamata; Lacertidae
Source: the annotation of a GenBank genome assembly